Molecule: long non-coding RNA, 1152 nt
Organism: Heterocephalus glaber (naked mole-rat)
Lineage: Eukaryota; Metazoa; Chordata; Mammalia; Rodentia; Bathyergidae
Source: RefSeq, a predicted model, not a curated record
GCACCAACUGGGGCAGAGCUCAAAGUUGCUCACAGCUUGACCCUAUUCACACUGAAAACUACAAUAGUUUUCAAACCAGAAAAGAAAACAGCCAGGUGGUCUGAAGAAGGGGUUGAAAGUGCUUUUAUUCACAUGAUACUUUUUUUUUUGGUACCAGGGAUCAAACUCGGGACCUUGCACUUGCGAGGCAGGCGGCAGCACCACUGAGGGAUCGAACUCAGGACCCUGCACUUGCAAGGCAGUCUCGGUGCCACUGAGCUAAAUCCCAGGCCUAACAAACCAAUUUUAUGAGUUCUGAGGAUCGAACCCAGGGCUGUGGCUGGAACUCGCCGUCUUUUUACUUCAGCCUCCUAGAGUGCUGGGAUCACAGGUGUGCACCACCAUACCAGGCAGAAACCAGGAUCCUGCAUGUGCUGGGCAAGCACCCUACGCCUAAACUGUACCCUCAGCUCUACCAAGAUAUUAUUGAAAAAGAGAACUACAACAAAGAAGGACUUGCACUGCCAAAUAUUUAAAUGUACUUUAAUGAAAUUUUGAGUGCCAUAAAAAACAAACAAGUCAGCUGGGCAUGGUAGCACAUGCCUGCAAUCCCAGCACUUGGGAGGCAGAGGCAGGAGGAUUGCCAUGAGUUUGAGGCCAGCCUGGGCUACAUGGUGAGUUCAAGGCCAACCUGAACUACAUGGUGAAACCCUGUCUCAAAAACAAAAACAAAAGAACAAAGAAGCCACUUAACAGAAUAAAAUCUAAAAUGAAAUCUGCAUUUAGAUAGAUUUAGAAUAUAAUUAAGAUGGCAGUUCAAAUGGUUGGGGACAGUAUGACUUAUUCAAUAGAUGUUGGACAAUUGCUGACUAUUUAUUAAAAAAAUAAACUUAGAUCCCUUACUUUAUACCAUGUAUCAACUUACUUAUUUUAUUUUAUUUUUUUAGGUUUUUGAGACAGGGUCUCACUAUGUAGUUCAGGCUGGCCUUGAACUCACUAUGUAGCCUGCCUCACCCUUCAGAGCACUGGGAUUACAGGUGUGGGCCACCAUGCCCGGCUUCCAUGUAUCAAUUUAAUUCAUACUAUGAAUUAAUUUAAUUCAUUAAAUUUAAUUAAAACAGUGAAAAAAUAUUUUUGACAUGAGAGACGGUCAUAGUACACUCCCCCCCUCAG